GUAUGGUGCAAGCGUUAUCCGGAUUUACUGGGUGUAAAGGGAGCGCAGGCGGAAGGCUAAGUCUGAUGUGAAAGCCCGGGGCUCAACCCCGGUACUGCAUUGGAAACUGUCGUACUAGAGUGUCGGAGGGGUAAGCGGAAUUCCUAGUGUAGCGGUGAAAUGCGUAGAUAUCGGGAGGAACACCAGUGGCGAAGGCGGUCUACUGGGCACCAACUGACGCUGAGGCUCGAAAGCAUGGGUAGCAAACAGGAUUAGAUACCCUGGUAGUCCAUGCCGUAAACGAUGAUUACUAGGUGUUGGGGGAUUGACCCCCUCAGUGCCGCAGUUAACACAAUAAGUAAUCCACCUGGGGAGU
Molecule: ribosomal RNA, 355 nt
Filed under: uncultured bacterium
Lineage: Bacteria
Description: bacterial SSU rRNA
Rfam family: Bacterial small subunit ribosomal RNA
Source: RNAcentral